GCCCGGUUAGCUCAAUCGGUAGAGCGUGAGACUCUUAAGACACACGUUCUGUAAUCUCAAGGUUGCGGGUUCGACCCCCGCAUUGGGCU
Non-coding RNA from Trichoderma gamsii, 89 nucleotides. The record is from Rfam. NCBI's taxonomy places the organism in Eukaryota, Fungi, Ascomycota, Sordariomycetes, Hypocreales, Hypocreaceae.